RNAcentral lists this ribosomal RNA (494 nucleotides) under uncultured bacterium. RNAcentral describes it as "partial 16S ribosomal RNA". It matches the Rfam family "Bacterial small subunit ribosomal RNA", at positions 28 to 507 of the family's 1533-position model. The record is from RNAcentral.
GACGAACGCUGGCGGCGUGCUUAACACAUGCAAGUCGAACGGAAAGGCCUGCUUUCCCUUGUGGAUUGCGGGUACUCGAGUGGCGAACGGGUGAGUAACACGUGAGUGAUCUGCCCCCAACUUGGGUAUAAGCCUGGGAAACUGGGUCUAAUUCCCGAUAGGACUGCAGGGUGGUGCCUGUGGUGGAAAACGAUUUUCUAGUGGUUGGGGAUGAGCUCGCGGCCUAUCAGCUUGGUGGUGGGGUAAUGGCCUACCAAGGCGGCGACGGGUAGCCGGCCUGAGAGGGUGGACGGCCACAUUGGGACUGAGAUACGGCCCAGACUCCUACGGGAGGCAGGAGUGGGGAAUAUUGCACAAUGGGCGGAAGCCUGAUGCAGCGACGCCGCGUGGGGGAUGACGGCCUUCGGGUUGUAAACUCCUUUCGACCGCGAGGAAGCCACCUGGUUGGAAGGGUGGUGACGGUAGUGGUAGAAGAAGCACUGGCUAACUACGUG